Molecule: long non-coding RNA, 306 nt
Filed under: Homo sapiens (human)
Lineage: Eukaryota; Metazoa; Chordata; Mammalia; Primates; Hominidae
Description: non-protein coding lnc-SLC16A3-6:1
Source: RNAcentral
GCAGUCACCUGUGCAGACACACCCCUACACCCGUGCACAGACACCUGUGCAGACACAACCCUACACCCGUGCAGACACAUCCCAACAUCCAUGCACAGACGCACCCCAACACCUGUGCACAGACACACCCUCACGCCCGUGUACACCCCCAACCCCACAUAACCGGCCCUCUCAUAACCCUACACCAUGCAUCACACCCAAACCCCAUGACCAACACCCACCACAGGCAGCAGUGUGGUGGGUCAGGCCCCACUGGGCCACGGUGCGGCUUCUCCUGCCCUUUUCACCUCUGCCCCCUACCUGGGC